RNAcentral lists this ribosomal RNA (479 nucleotides) under uncultured bacterium. RNAcentral's name for it is "partial 16S ribosomal RNA". It matches the Rfam family "Bacterial small subunit ribosomal RNA", at positions 28 to 507 of the family's 1533-position model. The record is from RNAcentral.
GAUGAACGCUGGCGGCGUGCUUAACACAUGCAAGUCGAACGAAGCACUUAAGAUUGAUUCUUCGGAUGACGUCUUUUGUGACUUAGUGGCGGACGGGUGAGUAACGCGUGGGUAACCUGCCUCACACAGGGGGAUAACAGUUAGAAAUGACUGCUAAUACCGCAUAACCCGAUAGGAUCGCAUGAUCCAGACGGAAAAGAUUUAUCGGUGUGAGAUGGACCCGCGUCUGAUUAGCUAGUUGGUGAGGUAACGGCCCACCAAGGCGACGAUCAGUAGCCGGCCUGAGAGGGUGAACGGCCACAUUGGGACUGAGACACGGCCCAAACUCCUACGGGAGGCAGCAGUGGGGAAUAUUGCACAAUGGGGGAAACCCUGAUGCAGCGACGCCGCGUGAGUGAAGAAGUAUUUCGGGAUGUAAAGCUCUAUCAGCAGGGAAGAAAAUGACGGUACCUGACGAAGAAGCCCCGGCUAACUACGUG